GCUGAAAUAGCUCAGUUGGGAGAGCGUUAGACUAAAGAUCUAAAGGUCCUUGGUACGAUCCUGGGUUUCGGCA
This 73-nucleotide transfer RNA is filed under the name Dallia pectoralis (Alaska blackfish). RNAcentral describes it as "tRNA-Phe". It matches the Rfam family "tRNA". From Rfam's summary of the family: Transfer RNA (tRNA) molecules are approximately 80 nucleotides in length. The record is from RNAcentral. Lineage: Eukaryota; Metazoa; Chordata; Actinopteri; Esociformes; Umbridae.